GUGUUGUUAAUGAGUUUAGUGUUAGACAAGAUUGUUGGAGGUGAUAUCGUGCGUGAGGAGGUGGUUGGCGGCGGGUUUCCCCGUACCGCCAACAAAGCCUCCACGCGUUCGCGUUACAGUUCACACAAGAUUGGUUGGGGGUCGCCCUUACGGGCUCCACCCCGAAUCACUGAUGAUCCUUCCGCAGGUUCACCUACGGAAA
RNAcentral lists this unclassified non-coding RNA (202 nucleotides) under uncultured fungus. RNAcentral describes it as "sequence contains ITS1". The record is from RNAcentral. Lineage: Eukaryota; Fungi.